AUACUUAUCUGGCUGGGAGAUAUUAUGAUCAAGAAAGUGGUUUUCCAGGAUGAGGAUGUACUGACCCCAGGAUUUCCCCAAAUACAGGAUACUUGACUGUAUAAUUUGUGGUAGUAGGGGACUACAAUGGCCCUCUCCCCUG
Molecule: small nuclear RNA, 142 nt
Filed under: Jaculus jaculus (lesser Egyptian jerboa)
Lineage: Eukaryota; Metazoa; Chordata; Mammalia; Rodentia; Dipodidae
Description: U1 spliceosomal RNA (ENSJJAG00000000720.1)
Rfam family: U1 spliceosomal RNA
About the family: U1 is a small nuclear RNA (snRNA) component of the spliceosome (involved in pre-mRNA splicing). Its 5' end forms complementary base pairs with the 5' splice junction, thus defining the 5' donor site of an intron. There are significant differences in sequence and secondary structure between metazoan and yeast U1 snRNAs, the latter being much longer (568 nucleotides as compared to 164 nucleotides in human).
Source: RNAcentral